RNAcentral lists this ribosomal RNA (270 nucleotides) under uncultured bacterium. RNAcentral's name for it is "partial 16S ribosomal RNA". It matches the Rfam family "Bacterial small subunit ribosomal RNA", at positions 85 to 353 of the family's 1533-position model. The record is from RNAcentral.
UUGAUGGCGACCGGCGCACGGGUGAGUAACACGUAUCCAACCUGCCGAUGACUCGGGGGAUAGCCUUUCGAAAGAAAGAUUAAUACCCGAUGGCAUAGUUCUUCCGCAUGGUGGAACUAUUAAAGAAUUUCGGUCAUCGAUGGGGAUGCGUUCCAUUAGGUUGUUGGCGGGGUAACGGCCCACCAAGCCUUCGAUGGAUAGGGGUUCUGAGAGGAAGGUCCCCCACAUUGGAACUGAGACACGGUCCAAACUCCUACGGGAGGCAGCAUG